GCAUGUUGUGGCGAAAGUGAACUCGCCCCUGGUUUUUGGAGGGGCCUGUUUGCCAGCCUCCUGCCCUGCGACUAUGGCCCUGGGAUGUAUUGCCGUUCUAGGAACUAAUUUGGGCAUAAUUGAGUUUUAUAUUGCUGUUUCUGGCCCUUUAAUUCCCAGAGAAAAGAUUUGUACUUUUAAACUGGCACUUCGGAGUCGAAGUCGUCAAAUUGGCCGCCAUUCGAAAACCGAACACGUGGCGGCGGCCAUUUUAACUAAUUCGAACGUGAUCAGCAGUGUGUGCAGCCAAAUCUAUGGAACUGUUUUUGGCUACCCAAUUGCACAAACACAGCUGACCCGUACCUUCUACUCUACUUCGACACUGCGGCCGCUCGUUCGAAUGGGACUUAGUCAUUUUCUCACUGUUUUGGGCAUGAAAAUGUGCUUGCAGUCGGUCAAAAGUGACAUAUCUAUCUCCCGAACGGCUGAAUGGAUUCAAAUGUUUUUUGGGUAUGUUUGUAUUUGGAAUGUGCUGAUUAAUAAUAUGUGACUUUUAUUAAUAUUGGAUGUAUGGUUUUAGAGUUAUGAAAGUUGGGUAAAAAGUAUGAUUUUACAGCUUGGAGAUAAUGGAGUAGAUACAGUAAGAAACUCAAUUACCUCCCAAGCAGAGGGGAGGAGAUAUAUGGGAGUGUUUGUACUGUAUACUACGUGUUUAUUGGUUGUUCUGUAAAACCCUGUGGGCGGUCCUGUAUGUGUUAAACCUGCAUAAAAGAAAGCCCUUUGGUACCAAGUAAACAGAGUUCUUCUUCACCCUCAAUCUAGAGUCCUGUCUUUUACUGGGGGAAUUGCUAUAUCACUACAAGGGAUUGCUAUUCUCUGCAUACUCCCGUAGCUAAUCACUACUAAGCUCUUUUAAGAGCUUGUUCCUGCUUCACUCUCUUGGAGGAGAGGUUUACCCACUGGAAC
Non-coding RNA from Pelobates cultripes (western spadefoot toad), 945 nucleotides. The record is from the annotation of a GenBank genome assembly. Lineage: Eukaryota; Metazoa; Chordata; Amphibia; Anura; Pelobatidae.